Molecule: ribosomal RNA, 116 nt
Filed under: bacterium D16-50
Lineage: Bacteria
Source: RNAcentral
UCCGGUGGCGAUGCGUCUGGGAGGAGCACCCGUUCCCAUCCCGAACACGCCGGUUAAGGCCCAGACGGCCGAUGGUACUAUGCCGCGAGGCAUGGGAGAGCAGGUGGCCGCCGGAA